CCCCAUGUAGCUCAGUGGUAGAGCGGCGGUCUGAAGAGCCGCGCGUCGGAGGUUCGAUUCCUCCCUAGGGGGCCA
RNAcentral lists this transfer RNA (75 nucleotides) under uncultured bacterium. RNAcentral describes it as "tRNA-Phe". It matches the Rfam family "tRNA". From Rfam's summary of the family: Transfer RNA (tRNA) molecules are approximately 80 nucleotides in length. Their secondary structure includes four short double-helical elements and three loops (D, anti-codon, and T loops). Further hydrogen bonds mediate the characteristic L-shaped molecular structure. tRNAs have two regions of fundamental functional importance: the anti-codon, which is responsible for specific mRNA codon recognition, and the 3' end, to which the tRNAs corresponding amino acid is attached (by aminoacyl-tRNA synthetases). tRNAs cope with the degeneracy of the genetic code in two manners: having more than one tRNA (with a specific anti-codon) for a particular amino acid; and 'wobble' base-pairing, i.e. permitting non-standard base-pairing at the 3rd anti-codon position. The record is from RNAcentral.